This 308-nucleotide ribosomal RNA is filed under the name uncultured eukaryote. Its description in RNAcentral is "partial 18S ribosomal RNA". It matches the Rfam family "Eukaryotic small subunit ribosomal RNA", at positions 1470 to 1796 of the family's 1831-position model. The record is from RNAcentral.
CCCUUAGACGUUCUGGGCCGCACGCGCGCUACACUGACGAAGGCAACGAGCUUUCCUUUACCGAAAGGUACGGGUAAUCUUUUGAAACUUCGUCGUGCUGGGGAUAGAUCCUUGCAAUUUUUGAUCUUAAACGAGGAAUUCCUAGUAAGCGCAAGUCAUCAACUUGCGUUGAUUACAUCCCUGCCCUUUGUACACACCGCCCGUCGCUACUACCGAUUGAAUGGUUUAGUGAGGCCUUCGGAUCCGCGACUCGUUUUGUGGAGAAGUUGGACAAACUCAGUCAUUUAGAGGAAGUAAAAGUCGUAACA